Long non-coding RNA from Leptinotarsa decemlineata (Colorado potato beetle), 396 nucleotides. RefSeq lists it as uncharacterized. Lineage: Eukaryota; Metazoa; Arthropoda; Insecta; Coleoptera; Chrysomelidae. The record is from RefSeq and is a predicted model, not a curated record.
AUAAGAUAUUCAUUUCUUGUUCAAAUGAAUAUUAUUGAUUUCAAAGUCAGAUAUUUUAUGAAGGAUAGUCAGAUAUCGAAAUCUUCUAAAGACAGGGUGUUGUGAGUGAUAUUCACUAGAAAGAUACCAAAUUAGUUUUAAUGAUGAAGUUUCAUGAAUGGAACUGGAUUAUGACCGGAUCAUCAGCUCGAACAUGCAAUUUGAGGGUUCAACAAUGAAAUCAGUUCCUUUAUUUUAAUGGUAAAAAGUCUGCAUCUGAACAUUGGCUGAAAAAAGUACACUAUCAUUAUUCUGUUGAUUGGUGAAUUUGAACAUGGUUCAGUAUGAAAAAGAGAGUUUCCUAGUAUUCUCAGGCAUGUGAAAUAAUUUAAUAAAUCAGAGUUUCAGUUUGUCCUU